RNAcentral lists this ribosomal RNA (484 nucleotides) under uncultured bacterium. RNAcentral's name for it is "partial 16S ribosomal RNA". It matches the Rfam family "Bacterial small subunit ribosomal RNA", at positions 30 to 507 of the family's 1533-position model. The record is from RNAcentral.
AUUGAACGCUGGCGGCAGGCCUAACACAUGCAAGUCGAGCGGAUGAAGGGAGCUUGCUCCUGGAUUCAGCGGCGGACGGGUGAGUAAUGCCUAGGAAUCUGCCUGGUCGUGGGGGAUAACGUCCGGAAACGGGCGCUAAUACCGCAUACGUCCUGAGGGAGAAAGUGGGGGAUCUUCGGACCUCACGCUAUCAGAUGAGCCUAGGUCGGAUUAGCUAGUUGGUGGGGUAAAGGCCUACCAAGGCGACGAUCCGUAACUGGUCUGAGAGGAUGAUCAGUCACACUGGAACUGAGACACGGUCCAGACUCCUACGGUAGGCAGCAGUGGGGAAUAUUGGACGAUGGGCGAAAGCCUGAUCCAGCCAUGCCGCGUGUGUGAAGAAGGUCUUCUGAUUGUAAAGCACUUUAAGUUGGGAGGAAGGGCAGUAAGUUAAUACCGUGCUGUUUUGACGUUACCAACAGAAUAAGCACCGGCUAACUUCGUG